This 791-nucleotide ribosomal RNA is filed under the name uncultured archaeon. RNAcentral's name for it is "bacterial SSU rRNA". It matches the Rfam family "Archaeal small subunit ribosomal RNA", at positions 85 to 879 of the family's 1478-position model. The record is from RNAcentral.
ACGGCUCAGUAACACGUAGUCAACAUGCCCAGGGGACGUGGAUAACCUCGGGAAACUGAGGAUAAACCGCGAUAGGUCAUGAUUUCUGGAAUGAUUCAUGGCCCAAAUCUAUAUGGCCCCUGGAUUGGACUGCGGCCGAUCAGGCUGUUGGUGAGGUAAUGGCCCACCAAACCUGUUACCGGUACGGGCUCUGAGAGGAGGAGCCCGGAGAUGGGCACUGAGACAAGGGCCCAGGCCCUAUGGGGCGCAGCAGGCGCGAAACCUCUGCAAUAGGCGAAAGCCUGACAGGGUUACUCUGAGUGGUUUCCGCUAAGGGAACCUUCUGGCACCUCUACAAAUGGUGCAGAAUAAGGGGUGGGCAAGUCUGGUGUCAGCCGCCGCGGUAAUACCAGCUCUCCGAGUGGUGUGGAUGUUUAUUGGGCCUAAAGCAUCCGUAGCUGGCUAGGUCAGUCCCUUGUUAAAUCCACCGAAUUAAUCGUUGGAUUGCGGGGGAUACUGCUUGGCUAGGGGACGAGAGAGGCAGACGGUAUUUUCGGGGUAGGGGUGAAAUCCUAUAAUCCCGGGAAGACCACCAGUGGCGAAGGCUGUCUGCUAGAACGCGCCCGACGGUGAGGGAUGAAAGCUGGGGGAGCGAACCGGAUUAGAUACCCGGGUAGUCCCAGCUGUAAACGAUGCAGACUAGGUGUUUGGACGGCCACGUGCCGUUCUAGUGCCGCAGGGAAGCUGUUAAGUCUGCCGCCUGGGGAGUACGAUCGCAAGAUUGAAACUUAAAGGAAUUGGCGGGGGAGCAC